Molecule: long non-coding RNA, 244 nt
Filed under: Elaeis guineensis (African oil palm)
Lineage: Eukaryota; Viridiplantae; Streptophyta; Magnoliopsida; Arecales; Arecaceae
Description: long non-coding RNA (EGUI_LNC032956)
Source: RNAcentral
GCCUAUUAUAAUAUAUUGCAUAUGGUAAUAUUAAUUUUGCAGAAUAUUAUUAUAUAUUAUAAUCCUAUAUUAUAAGAAUGUAACAUUCUGUCAUUUCCAUGUGAUUAGCAUUAACAUUUUAAUAUGAUAUCAAUAUUAAAUAAUAAUAUUACAUGUUAUAUUAUAUAUAAUGUCAUAGUACCGUAGUGUAUUAUAUUGUUAACAAAUAUAAAAAUAUAUCAUACAAUGAUAUUUUAAUUAUAAC